Molecule: microRNA, 23 nt
Filed under: Heligmosomoides polygyrus
Lineage: Eukaryota; Metazoa; Nematoda; Chromadorea; Rhabditida; Heligmosomidae
Description: hpo-miR-40c-5p
Gene: hpo-miR-40c-5p
Source: miRBase by way of RNAcentral
ACUGCAGGAUAUCUCGGUUGAAG